Molecule: ribosomal RNA, 165 nt
Filed under: uncultured bacterium
Lineage: Bacteria
Description: partial 16S rRNA
Rfam family: Bacterial small subunit ribosomal RNA
Source: RNAcentral
UAGGGAAUCUUCGGCAAUGGGGGCAACCCUGACCGAGCAACGCCGCGUGAGUGAAGAAGAUUUUCGGAUCGUAAAGCUCUGUUGUAAGAGAAGAACGUGUGUGAGAGUGGAAAGUUCACACAGUGACGGUAACUUACCAAAAAGGGACGGCUAACUACGUGCCAG